ACGUUAAUCGGGGCAGGGUGAGUCGACCCCUAAGGCGAGGCCGAAAGGCGUAGUCGAUGGGAAACAGGUUAAUAUUCCUGUACUUGGUGUUACUGCGAAGGGGGGACGGAGAAGGCUAUGUUAGCCGGGCGACGGUUGUCCCGGUUUAAGCAUGUAGGCUGGUUGUCCAGGCAAAUCCGGAUAAUCAAGGCUGAGGUGUGAUGACGAGGCACUACGGUGCUGAAGUAACAAAUGCCCUGCUUCCAGGAAAAGCCUCUAAGCAUCAGGUAACAUCAAAUCGUACCCCAAACCGACACAGGUGGUCAGGUAGAGAAUACCAAGGCGCUUGAGAGAACUCGGGUGAAGGAACUAGGCAAAAUGGUGCCGUAACUUCGGGAGAAGGCACGCUGGUGUGUAGGUGAAG
Molecule: ribosomal RNA, 403 nt
Filed under: Klebsiella quasipneumoniae subsp. similipneumoniae
Lineage: Bacteria; Pseudomonadati; Pseudomonadota; Gammaproteobacteria; Enterobacterales; Enterobacteriaceae
Description: partial 23S ribosomal RNA
Rfam family: Bacterial large subunit ribosomal RNA
Source: RNAcentral